This 253-nucleotide ribosomal RNA is filed under the name uncultured bacterium. RNAcentral's name for it is "partial 16S ribosomal RNA". It matches the Rfam family "Bacterial small subunit ribosomal RNA", at positions 524 to 776 of the family's 1533-position model. The record is from RNAcentral.
UACGGAGGGGGCGAGCGUUAUUCGGAAUUAUUGGGCGUAAAGGGCGCGUAGGCGGCCUUCUAAGUCGAACGUGAAAUCCCCGGGCUCAACCCGGGAACUGCGUCCGAUACUGGAAGGCUUGAAUCCGGGAGAGGGAUGCGGAAUUCCAGGUGUAGCGGUGAAAUGCGUAGAUAUCUGGAGGAACACCGGUGGCGAAGGCGGCAUCCUGGACCGGUAUUGACGCUGAGGCGCGAAAGCCAGGGGAGCAAACGGG